This 501-nucleotide ribosomal RNA is filed under the name uncultured bacterium. Its description in RNAcentral is "partial 16S ribosomal RNA". It matches the Rfam family "Bacterial small subunit ribosomal RNA", at positions 30 to 523 of the family's 1533-position model. The record is from RNAcentral.
AUUGAACGCUGGCGGCAGGCUUAACACAUGCAAGUCGAGCGGAGCGAGGGUGCUUGCACCUUAGCUUAGCGGCGGACGGGUGAGUAAUGCUUAGGAAUCUGCCUAUUAGUGGGGGACAACAUUCCGAAAGGGAUGCUAAUACCGCAUACGCCCUACGGGGGAAAGCAGGGGAUCUUCGGACCUUGCGCUAAUAGAUGAGCCUAAGUCGGAUUAGCUAGUUGGUGGGGUAAAGGCCUACCAAGGCGACGAUCUGUAGCGGGUCUGAGAGGAUGAUCCGCCACACUGGGAGUGGGACACGGCCCAGACUCCUACGGGAGGCAGCAGUGGGGAAUAUUGGACAGUGGGCGGAAGCCUGAUCCAGCCAUGCCGCGUGUGUGAAGAAGGCCUUUUGGUUGUAAAGCACUUUAAGCGAGGAGGAGGCUACUAGUAUUAAUACUACUGGAUAGUGGACGUUACUCGCAGAAUAAGCACCGGCUAACUCUGUGCCAGCCGCCGCCGUAA